RNAcentral lists this ribosomal RNA (490 nucleotides) under uncultured bacterium. RNAcentral's name for it is "partial 16S ribosomal RNA". It matches the Rfam family "Bacterial small subunit ribosomal RNA", at positions 30 to 507 of the family's 1533-position model. The record is from RNAcentral.
AUUGAACGCUGGCGGCAGGCCUAACACAUGCAAGUCGAACGGUAACAGGAAGAAGCUUGCUUCUUUGCUGACGAGUGGCGGACGGGUGAGUAAUGUCUGGGAAACUGCCUGAUGGAGGGGGAUAACUACUGGAAACGGUAGCUAAUACCGCAUAACGUCGCAAGACCAAAGAGGGGGACCUUCGGGCCUCUUGCCAUCGGAUGUGCCCAGAUGGGAUUAGCUAGUAGGUGGGGUAACGGCUCACCUAGGCGACGAUCCCUAGCUGGUCUGAGAGGAUGAACAGCCACACUGGAACUGAGACACGGUCCAGACUCCUACGGGAGGCAGCAGUGGGGAAUAUUGCACAAUGGGCGCAAGCCUGAUGCAGCCAUGCCGCGUGUAUGAAGAAGGCCUUCGGGUUGUAAAGUACUUUCAGCGGGGAGGAAGGGAGUAAAGUUAAUACCUUGGCUCAUUGACGUUACCCGCAGAAGAAGCACCGGCUAACUCCGUG